CGGAUCUCGUAUAUAUCAUGGCAUUUUCUGUGGUCUUUGAAAACUAACUGGUCUGGAACACGGGUGAAAGUGUCAUGAUAAAGGAAGUAGAUAUUGAUUAAUAAACAAAUAGACCGUGUUAUUAAUUUUAAUUUUUUGGGCUUCUUCAACCGUCAUUAUGCUUCCUGAAAAGAACAACGUUUUGGUAGAAGUAGUAGAUUGCUCUUUCCCCGUCCUCAGAUGAACCAACAACUGAGCGCGUGACUUUGACUUCUCGACCUGUGUAGUUUAGCUCUGUCUAACUGGCCAGACCACCCUCAUUUAACCAAAUAGGAAGACAAUCAAGAACAAUGUCAGCAUCAGAGAAAAAAUUGCUGGCUAAAGCAUUGUUCCUGAGGUCAGAGGAAGUAGAAGGGUUGUUGGCAGUACGAUCUUACAAAAUGUGGUUUCUAUCUACAGACUUCAAGUGAAGUAUCCUGUUGUGGAAUAUGAUAGGGGUGUCCUGGAGGUGAGUGUGGUGGCCCAGGUUGAAGGAGUGCUCGGCUACGGCGGAUUUUUCAGGUUGCUCCAUCCAGAUGUGGCCCCGGUGCUCCUUGACCCCUUCCGGUCCCUAUAGCUCUAGCGGG
Zootermopsis nevadensis is the source of this 605-nucleotide long non-coding RNA. RefSeq lists it as uncharacterized. The record is from RefSeq and is a predicted model, not a curated record. NCBI's taxonomy places the organism in Eukaryota, Metazoa, Arthropoda, Insecta, Blattodea, Termopsidae.